Molecule: non-coding RNA, 842 nt
Filed under: Epibator nigrofasciolatus
Lineage: Eukaryota; Metazoa; Chordata; Lepidosauria; Squamata; Scincidae
Description: partial 12S ribosomal RNA
Rfam family: Bacterial small subunit ribosomal RNA
Source: RNAcentral
UUGGUCCUAAACUUGCCAUUGUUUUUAAUAAAAAUUACACAUGCAAGCUUCAACAUCCCAGUGAAAAUGCCCACGAACUCUUAAACAGCCUACAGGAGCAGGCAUCAGGAACACCAAAUGUUUGCCUAAAACGCCUUGCUAUGCCACACCCACAAGGGCCCUCAGCAGUGAACGAUAUUAAGAAAUAAGCGAAAGCUUGACUUAGUUAUUAUUAAAUAUGGUCGGUAAAUUUCGUGCCAGCCACCGCGGUUAUACGAAAGACCAAAAACAAUAGCCUACGGCGUAAAGAGUGACAAAAAGAACAGCAAAGUUUAAAGAAAAACUGCAACAAAGUUGUAAAACACUACUGCUUGCAGGAACCACAACAAUAAAAUGUCUUUAACCAUUCACCUCACGAAAGCUAAGAAACAAACUGGGAUUAGAUACCCCACUAUGCUUAGCUGUAAACAAAGACAGUACAAUUACAAUACUGUCCGCCAGAGAACUACAAGCAAAAACUCAAAACUCUAAGGACUUGGCGGUGCUCCAUAUCACCCUAGAGGAGCCUGUCCUAUAAUCGAUACUCCCCGAUCUACCUCACCGCUUUUUGAAAAUCAGCCUAUAUACCGCCGUCGUCAGCCUACCUUAUGAAAGAAACAAAGUAAGCAAAAUAGUUACUAACUAGCACGUCAGGUCAAGGUGUAGCUUAUAAAACGGAAGAGAUGGGCUACACUCUCUCAUUUAGAGAACACGAACAGCAUCAAUGAAAUACUGCUCAAAGGUGGAUUUAGUAGUAAGACAGACAAGAGAGUCCGUCUAAAACCAGCCCUGGAGCGCGCACACACCGCCCGUCACCCUCAUCA